This 254-nucleotide ribosomal RNA is filed under the name uncultured bacterium. Its description in RNAcentral is "partial 16S ribosomal RNA". It matches the Rfam family "Bacterial small subunit ribosomal RNA", at positions 524 to 776 of the family's 1533-position model. The record is from RNAcentral.
UACGUAGGGGGCAAGCGUUGUCCGGAUUUAUUGGGCGUAAAAGGCUUGUAGGUGGCCACGCCAAGUCGGAUGUGAAAUCUCCCGGCUCAACUGGGAGGGGUCAUUCGAUACUGGCGGGCUCGAGGCCGGUAGGGGGAAGUGGAAUUCCCGGUGUAGUGGUGGAAUGCGUAGAUAUCGGGAGGAACACCAGUGGCGAAGGCGGUUCUCUGGGACGGUACUGACGCUGAGACGCGAAAGCGUGGGGAGCGAACAGG